UAGGGAAUCUUCCGCAAUGGGCGAAAGCUUGACGGAGCAAGGCCGCGUGGGUGAUGAAGGUCUUCGGAUCGUAAAACUCUGUUAUUAGGGAAGAACAAAUGUGUAAGUAACUAUGCACGUCUUGACGGUACCUAAUCAGAAAGCCACGGCUAACUACGUGCCAGCAGCCGCGGUAAUACGUAGGUGGCAAGCGUUAUCCGGAAUUAUUGGGCGUAAAGCGCGCGUAGGCGGUGUUUUAAGUCUGAUGUGAAAGCCCACGGCUCAACCGUGGAGGGUCAUUGGAAACUGGAAAACUGUAGCGCAGAAAAGGAAAGUGGAAUUCAAUGGGUAGCGGUGAAAUGCGCAGUGAUAGGGAGGAAAACCAGUGGCGAAGGCGACGUUCGGGUCUGUAACUGACGCUGAUGUGCGAAAGCGUGGGGAUCAAACAGG
This 429-nucleotide ribosomal RNA is filed under the name Actinomycetes bacterium. RNAcentral describes it as "Actinobacteria bacterium partial 16S ribosomal RNA". It matches the Rfam family "Bacterial small subunit ribosomal RNA", at positions 355 to 776 of the family's 1533-position model. Lineage: Bacteria; Bacillati; Actinomycetota; Actinomycetes. The record is from RNAcentral.